Asparagus officinalis (garden asparagus) is the source of this 1343-nucleotide long non-coding RNA. RefSeq lists it as uncharacterized. The transcript is spliced from 10 exons. The record is from RefSeq and is a predicted model, not a curated record. NCBI's taxonomy places the organism in Eukaryota, Viridiplantae, Streptophyta, Magnoliopsida, Asparagales, Asparagaceae.
AUUAGGCUCGGCUUCGUCUAUAAAUACAGCUCUCAUCCUCUUUCUUCCCUCUCUAUCUCCUUUCAAAAACUCAGCAGAUGGAUGAUGCUCAAUCUAGGUUAAAUUAGGGUUUCGAAUCAGUGUAUUGCAGUCUAAGCAAAGAUCAAAGUUCAUUGAAGGACAACGAAUGGUCUGGGGUUUUCUGUGGAAUUUUGAAAGAAAAGAGAAAGGAACAAUCUUGGAUUGAGGAGGAAGCUAAAGAUGCUCCUUCAUGCAGUCCUGCACUUCAGCCAAUUCCUUCCCCUUUUUUUUUUCAUGUCAAGAAAUUUUGGGAUACUAGUUGCUGAAGGAAGAAGCUAAAGACCUUGCCACCAGAGGCUUGGGAGAAAUGUUGCUGAUGAAAAAUAAAGAUCAUCCUGGGUUUCAAGGUGUCCAAUGGAACAAGCUCUAUCAUGAGGCUGCAUUAUCCUUAAGUGAAGGAUGAACUGGAUCCUCAAAAUUUCAAGAAGUUUGGGGAGGUAAAAUACCAAUAAAUUGGUUUACUUUCUAACAGAAUAUGUGUAUCUUGCAGUUUGACAAUCGUGCUUAAACUUCUUCAAUACAAGACCCUUGAAGAAAGGGGAACAGUUCCUCUAAAAUUUGAUGGUUUUGUGAAUCCAACCUGUUAUACAUCUUGAACAAGAAACUUUUCAAAUCUGAAUGAAGCCCAAGGGUAUAAUGACAGUGGCGGGUCCUACAAACUGACGGACAAGUGCACUCACAACAGUAACGGCUGGCAACACUUGCAAAAGAACAGAAGAACACUGGUCCACUCCACUAUUGACACACCUGAGAAUAUUGCUCCUGAGGUUCUAUUGAAGAAGGGUGAGGAUUCCUAUUCAGUACCGUGAUUCAUACAGAUGCUGUUUGGAGAUCACAUUUGAAUUUCCUUAAAGAAGCUAUGUUAACUACAGAAGUUAAAGUUCUUAUCAGUCAAACGUCUAUUCAAUACUGACAGAGGCUUGGCUUAAAUGGUCUGAUGAAAUAAAGGAUCACCCUUGGCUUGAAGGUGUCCAAUGGGACAAAUUAUAUCAAAUGGAGUCUGCAUUUAUACCUGCAGUGAAAGAUGAAUUGGAUACUCAAGACUUGUAAAGUUUGAGGAGUCUGAUAAUCAUGUUCAAACUCUGUCGACAUAAGAUGUUUUCCUCGAGGAUCGAAUUUUUGUGGUCUAUACAUGUAAGAACUUCAAAAAUGUUAUUGAUCCUGAAGUGCCUUUUUUGGUAAAUAUUACUUGUUAAGGAUCCUGAAGUGCCUGCGAUGGUAAAUAUUCUGUCGAUAAGAACCUCACUUUGUUGUGUUGAUAUAUACUCGCUGCCUUCCUUUUA